This 630-nucleotide ribosomal RNA is filed under the name uncultured bacterium. RNAcentral's name for it is "bacterial SSU rRNA". It matches the Rfam family "Bacterial small subunit ribosomal RNA", at positions 249 to 885 of the family's 1533-position model. The record is from RNAcentral.
UUGGUGCGGUAGUGGCGUACCAAGGCGACGACGGGUAGCCGGCCUGAGAGGGCGACCGGCCACACUGGGACUGAGACACGGCCCAGACUCCUACGGGAGGCAGCAGUGGGGAAUAUUGCACAAUGGGCGCAAGCCUGAUGCAGCGACGCCGCGUGAGGGAUGACGGCCUUCGGGUUGUAAACCUCUUUCGAUCGGGACGAAGCCUUUCGGGGUGACGGUACCGGUAUAAGAAGCACCGGCUAACUACGUGCCAGCAGCCGCGGUAAUACGUAGGGUGCGAGCGUUGUCCGGAAUUAUUGGGCGUAAAGAGCUCGUAGGCGGUUUGUUGCGUCUAUCGUGAAGACCUGGGGCUCAACCCCGGGCCUGCGGUGGAUACGGGCAGACUUGAGUUCGGUAGGGGAGACUGGAAUUCCUGGUGUAGCGGUGAAAUGCGCAGAUAUCAGGAGGAACACCGGUGGCGAAGGCGGGUCUCUGGGCCGAUACUGACGCUGAGGAGCGAAAGCGUGGGGAGCGAACAGGAUUAGAUACCCUGGUAGUCCACGCCGUAAACGUUGGGCGCUAGGUGUGGGAUCCCUUCCACGGGUUCCGUGCCGCAGCUAACGCAUUAAGCGCCCCGCCUGGGGAGUACGG